Molecule: non-coding RNA, 72 nt
Organism: Protopterus annectens (West African lungfish)
Lineage: Eukaryota; Metazoa; Chordata; Ceratodontiformes; Protopteridae
Source: the annotation of a RefSeq genome assembly
UCCCUGGUGGUCUAGUGGUUAGGAUUUGGAGCUCUCACCGCCAUGGCUCGGGUUCGAUUCCCGGUCAGGAAA